This 1398-nucleotide ribosomal RNA is filed under the name uncultured bacterium. RNAcentral describes it as "bacterial SSU rRNA". It matches the Rfam family "Bacterial small subunit ribosomal RNA". The record is from RNAcentral.
UUCCUAGUGAUUAGAGUUUGAUCAUGGCUCAGAUUGAACGCUGGCGGCAGGCCUAACACAUGCAAGUCGAGCGGUAGCACAGAGAGCUUGCUCUCGGGUGACGAGCGGCGGACGGGUGAGUAAUGUCUGGGAAACUGCCUGAUGGAGGGGGAUAACUACUGGAAACGGUAGCUAAUACCGCAUAAUGUCGCAAGACCAAAGAGGGGGACCUUCGGGCCUCUUGCCAUCAGAUGUGCCCAGAUGGGAUUAGCUAGUAGGUGGGGUAACGGCUCACCUAGGCGACGAUCCCUAGCUGGUCUGAGAGGAUGACCAGCCACACUGGAACUGAGACACGGUCCAGACUCCUACGGGAGGCAGCAGUGGGGAAUAUUGCACAAUGGGCGCAAGCCUGAUGCAGCCAUGCCGCGUGUAUGAAGAAGGCCUUCGGGUUGUAAAGUACUUUCAGCGGGGAGGAAGGCGAUAAGGUUAAUAACCUUGUCGAUUGACGUUACCCGCAGAAGAAGCACCGGCUAACUCCGUGCCAGCAGCCGCGGUAAUACGGAGGGUGCAAGCGUUAAUCGGAAUUACUGGGCGUAAAGCGCACGCAGGCGGUCUGUCAAGUCGGAUGUGAAAUCCCCGGGCUCAACCUGGGAACUGCAUUCGAAACUGGCAGGCUAGAGUCUUGUAGAGGGGGGUAGAAUUCCAGGUGUAGCGGUGAAAUGCGUAGAGAUCUGGAGGAAUACCGGUGGCGAAGGCGGCCCCCUGGACAAAGACUGACGCUCAGGUGCGAAAGCGUGGGGAGCAAACAGGAUUAGAUACCCUGGUAGUCCACGCCGUAAACGAUGUCGACUUGGAGGUUGUGCCCUUGAGGCGUGGCUUCCGGAGCUAACGCGUUAAGUCGACCGCCUGGGGAGUACGGCCGCAAGGUUAAAACUCAAAUGAAUUGACGGGGGCCCGCACAAGCGGUGGAGCAUGUGGUUUAAUUCGAUGCAACGCGAAGAACCUUACCUACUCUUGACAUCCAGAGAACUUUCCAGAGAUGGAUUGGUGCCUUCGGGAACUCUGAGACAGGUGCUGCAUGGCUGUCGUCAGCUCGUGUUGUGAAAUGUUGGGUUAAGUCCCGCAACGAGCGCAACCCUUAUCCUUUGUUGCCAGCGGUUAGGCCGGGAACUCAAAGGAGACUGCCAGUGAUAAACUGGAGGAAGGUGGGGAUGACGUCAAGUCAUCAUGGCCCUUACGAGUAGGGCUACACACGUGCUACAAUGGCGCAUACAAAGAGAAGCGACCUCGCGAGAGCAAGCGGACCUCAUAAAGUGCGUCGUAGUCCGGAUUGGAGUCUGCAACUCGACUCCAUGAAGUCGGAAUCGCUAGUAAUCGUAGAUCAGAAUGCUACGGUGAAUACGUUCCCGGGCCUUGUAG